CAGUCGCCACGGUAAUACGAGGGGAGCUAGCGUUAUUCGGAAUUACUGGGCGUAAAGCGCACGUAGGCGGCUUUGUAAGUUAGAGGUGAAAGCCCAGAGCUCAACUCUGGAAUUGCCUUUAAGACUGCAUCGCUUGAAUCCAGGAGAGGUGAGUGGAAUUCCGAGUGUAGAGGUGAAAUUCAUAGAUAUUCGGAAGAACACCAGUGGCGAAGGCGGCUCACUGGACUGGUAUUGACGCUCAUGCACGAAAGCGUGGGGAGCAAACAGGAUUAGAUACCCCAGUAGUCCCUGUCUCUUAUAC
This 301-nucleotide ribosomal RNA is filed under the name uncultured bacterium. RNAcentral's name for it is "partial 16S ribosomal RNA". It matches the Rfam family "Bacterial small subunit ribosomal RNA", at positions 509 to 807 of the family's 1533-position model. The record is from RNAcentral.